UUACAGCUAUCUUAAUUAAAUUCUCCUCUGAACCUCAAGAAAGUGAGGAAGAACUACAAGAUAGGACUUAAAGUUCUCCAUCCACCACUGUGGUAAUGUUCAUUAAACUAAUGGAUCCAAGCAAGGGUCAUUCUACAACAAAGGAUUUUGUGGCAACUUCCAUCACAAACAAAAAAGAAAAAGGCUGCAGAGAAUUUCAGUCAUAACCCAGGUUUCCAUGAAUGUGGCUGCGGUUGCUGAUGGCCAUCUGGGUGGCCUCGGAUCCUCUGCGAUGUCACACGGUGCUGUCACAAGGAAGCCUCGCAGGAUCGGAGCCCACGCGGAGGAUCAACUCCAGG
Molecule: long non-coding RNA, 338 nt
Filed under: Heterocephalus glaber (naked mole-rat)
Lineage: Eukaryota; Metazoa; Chordata; Mammalia; Rodentia; Bathyergidae
Description: lncRNA (ENSHGLG00100032786.1)
Source: RNAcentral